GGGUGCCAGCUUUGUAGGAGCCAUGGCACAGGAUGAGGCUCUUCUCUGAUAUUCCUUUAUCACCUUUAAGACUGGACCCACAAAGAAAACACAAUUGCCUUCCAUCCCCUCUCCGAAAUCUCAUUACCUAUCACAGAAAAGAAGACUGAGUAAUGUAACCACACCUGGAUGAAUUUUUUCACAAAACAAUGUCUGCCUUUCAGGCUCAUUCAAAUUCUAAAGAGAAUAACUUACAGAUUAAUUCCUGUCUCCCAGGUUCAUUCAUUUCCCCUAAAAAUCAUUUGCUGCCCCU
This 292-nucleotide long non-coding RNA is filed under the name Homo sapiens (human). RNAcentral's name for it is "HSALNT0150527". The record is from RNAcentral. Lineage: Eukaryota; Metazoa; Chordata; Mammalia; Primates; Hominidae.